UCAAGCUAGAAAGGGCAUACGGUGGAUGCCUUUGGCGCUGACGAGCGACGAAGGACGUGGAAGGCUGCGAAAAGCCUCGGGGAGCUGCCUAGCAAGCUUUGAUCCGAGGGUGUCCGAAUAGGGAAACCUCAUACGGCGUAAGUCGUGUGACCGUUCACUGAAUCCAUAGGUGGGCGGGGCGAACCCGGGGAAGUGAAACAUCUCAGUACCUGGAGGAGAAGAAAUCAAUAGAGACUCCCCAAGUAGCGGCGAGCGAACGGGGACUAGGCCAAACCAAGAGACUUAGUCUCUUGGGGUUGUAGGGCGGCGAUAUGAGACCGGAAGCGGUAGGCGAAGCACUUGAAAGGUGCGGCACAGAGGGUGAUACCCCCGUAGCUUAAACCGUUAACGGCUCUAGCCUGUCCCUGAGUACGGCGGGGCACGUGAAACCUUGUCGGAAACUGGGUGGACCAUCAUCCAAGCCUAAGUAUCUGUCAGCGACCGAUAGCGCAUAGUACCGUGAGGGAAAGGUGAAAAGUACUCCAGUGAGGAGGGUGAAAAAGAACCUGAAACCGUAUGUCUACAAUCGGUGGGAACACUAUGGUUCGUCCAGUGUGACCGCGUACCUUUUGUAUCAUGGGUCGGCGAGUCAAUUUCAGCGGCAAGGUUAAGCCAUUAGGUGUAGCCGAAGCGAAAGCGAGUCCGAAUAGGGCGCGAAGUCGUUGGGAUUGGACCCGAAGCCUGUCGAUCUACCCAUGGGCAGGGUGAAGCGAGGGUAAAACCUCGUGGAGGCCCGAACCCAUUGAUGUUGAAAAAUCUUGGGAUGACUUGUGGGUAGGGGUGAAAGGCCAAUCAAGGCAGGUGAUAGCUGGUUCUCCCGAAAAAUAUUUAGGUAUUGCCUCGAGGAAUUCAGUGGCGGAGGUAGAGCACUGAAUGGGCUAGGGCGCCUACCAGCGUACCAAACCCAAUCAAACUCCGAAUGCCGUCAACUGUUACCUCGGAGGCAGACUGCGGGUGAUAAGGUCCGUAGUCGAGAGGGAAACAACCCAGACCGACAGCUAAGGUCCCAAAAUCCUAGCUAAGUGGAAAAGGAUGUGGGGGCACAUAAACAACUGGGAGGUUGGCUUAGAAGCAGCAAUCCUUUAAAGAAAGCGUAAUAGCUCACCAGUCGAGUGAACCCGCGCCGAAAAUUUAACGGGGCUCAAGUUAGGUACCGAAGCUUCGGACUCGAAAGAGUGGUAGGGAGCUCUGCAGCGACUGCGAAGGCGUACCGGCAAGGAACGCUGGAGUUUCUGCAGGUGAUUAUGCCGACACGAGUAGCGAUAAAACGGGUGAAAAGCCCGUUCGCCGAAAACCCAAGGGUUCCUGGGGUAGGUUAAUCCUCCCAGGGUCAGCCGGGUCCUAAGACGAGGCCGAGAGGCGUAGUCGAUGGAAAACAGGUUAAUAUUCCUGUGCCGGCCUGGUGCGAUUGAAAUGAGGGGGACGGAGAAGGAUAGCCCAACCAGGUUCUGGAAGUCCUGGUUCAAGCAUGUAGGCUGGCGCUGCAGGAUCAAACGCAGUGUCAAGGCUGAGGUGUGAUGCAAUAGUGCGUCUUCGGACAAACUAUUGGAGGUGAUUCCCUGCUUCCUAGAAAAGCCCCGCAUGGACAAUCCAGGUCGCCCGUACCGUAAACCGACUCAGGUGGGUGGGAAGAGAAUUCUAAGGCGCUUGAGAGAAUCGUGGUUAAGGAACUCUGCAAAUUAGCACCGUAACUUUGGGAUAAGGUGUGCCUUCAUUACGUGAAACCCCUGCGGGUGGAGCGGAAGAGGGUUGCAACAAAGAGGGACUGGCGACUGUUUACCAAAAACACAGGUCUCUGCUAACGCGUAAGCGGAAGUAUAGGGGCUGACGCCUGCCCGGUGCCGGAAGGUUAAGGAGAGUCGUUAGCGUAAGCGAAGCGAUGAACCGAAGCCCCGGUGAACGGCGGCCGUAACUAUAACGGUCCUAAGGUAGCGAAAUUCCUUGGCGGGUAAGUUCCGUCCUGCACGAAUGGCGUAACGACUGGUCCACUGUCUCAACCACGAACUCAGCGAAACUGAAGUCCCGGCGAAGAUGCCGGGUACCCGCAGCAAGACGGAAAGACCCCGUGAACCUUUACUGUAGCUUGGCAGUGAUGUUCGAAUUGUAUUGUGUAGGAUAGGUGGGAGGCUUUGAACCUGGAUCGCUAGAUUCAGGGGAGCCAUCCUUGAAAUACCACCCUGUAUAGUUUGAGCAUCUAACCUGGGCCCGUUAUCCGGGCCGGGGACAUUGCCUGGUGGGCAGUUUGACUGGGGCGGUCGCCUCCCAAACAGUAACGGAGGCGCACGAAGGUUCCCUCAGCCCGAUUGGAAACCGGGCGUCGAGUGUAAUGGCACAAGGGAGCUUUACUGCGAGACCGACGGGUCGAGCAGUGCGAAAGCAGGUCAUAGUGAUCUGGUGGUACCGCAUGGAAGGGCCAUCACUUAACGGAUAAAAGGUACUCCGGGAUAACAGGCUGAUCUCCUCCAAGAGUUCAUAUCGACGAGGAGUUUUGGCACCUCGAUGUCGGCUCGUCACACCUGGGGCUGAAGUCGGUCCCAAGGGUUUGGCUGUUCGCAAUUAAAGUGGCACGCGAGCUGGGUUCAGAACGUCGUGAGACAGUCGGUCCCUAUCUGCUGUGGCGUAGGAGACUUGAGGAGAGCUAUCUUUAGUACAGAGGACCGAGAUGGACGUACCGCUGUGGUUCCGGUUGUUCACCAAGAGCAUCCGGGUAGCUAAGUACGGAACGGAUAACCGCUGAAAGCAUCUAAGCGGGAAGCCUCCUCCAAGACAGGUCUCCCUGGAGCAAUCCCUAAAGGUCCGUUCUAGACCAGGACGUUGAUAGGCCACAGGUGGAAGCACAGCAAUGUGUGAAGCUGAGUGGUACUAAUUGACCGUGAGGCUUUGAACA
This 2926-nucleotide ribosomal RNA is filed under the name Kappaphycus alvarezii. Its description in RNAcentral is "bacterial LSU rRNA". It matches the Rfam family "Bacterial large subunit ribosomal RNA". The record is from RNAcentral. Lineage: Eukaryota; Rhodophyta; Florideophyceae; Gigartinales; Solieriaceae.